Molecule: ribosomal RNA, 468 nt
Filed under: uncultured bacterium
Lineage: Bacteria
Description: partial 16S ribosomal RNA
Rfam family: Bacterial small subunit ribosomal RNA
Source: RNAcentral
GACGAACGCUGGCAGCGUGCUUAACACAUGCAAGUCGAACGGAAAGGCCCUGCUUUUGUGGGGUGCUCGAGUGGCGAACGGGUGAGUAACACGUGAGUAACCUGCCCUUGACUUUGGGAUAACUUCAGGAAACUGGGGCUAAUACCGGAUAGGAGCUCCUGCUGCAUGGUGGGGGUUGGAAAGUUUCGGCGGUUGGGGAUGGACUCGCGGCUUAUCAGCUUGUUGGUGGGGUAGUGGCUUACCAAGGCUUUGACGGGUAGCCGGCCUGAGAGGGUGACCGGCCACAUUGGGACCGAGAUACGGCCCAGACUCCUACGGGAGGCAGCAGUGGGGAAUAUUGCACAAUGGGCGGAAGCCUGAUGCAGCAACGCCGCGUGCGGGAUGACGGCCUUCGGGUUGUAAACCGCUUUCGCCUGUGACGAAGCGUGAGUGACGGUAAUGGGUAAAGAAGCACCGGCUAACUACGUG